UGGUGCGCUGGGCCCCGCCGGAGGUGGCCGACGCGUUCUGCGCGUCGCGGCUCGGCGGGGACGGGGGCGCGGUGUUCGGGACGCUGCCGCACAGUC
Molecule: transfer RNA, 96 nt
Filed under: Streptomyces sp. NP10
Lineage: Bacteria; Bacillati; Actinomycetota; Actinomycetes; Kitasatosporales; Streptomycetaceae
Description: tRNA-Arg
Source: RNAcentral